AGCCGUCCUACUGGGAGUGGAACAGUCGCCACUCUCAAUGAGAUAACUGUCUGUUUUGGUGAUUGCUCUGCUCACGGCCCACCUUGCUCCUGUUUGAAGAGGAAUCAUCCAGGAGCCUUCGAUGGGUGAGAAUAUGCAUAAGUGGACCUGAGCAGCCUGGACAUCCUUCUAAGGAGACAUGAAUAGUUGUCAUCUUUCUGCCUUCUGCGUAACUGGCUGUGAGUAAAUGAGUCUCCUGCACUCAUGCAAUGGAAAUCAAGUGAGAGCAAGAGGACCUCGAACUAUUAAUGCCACGAAAAAGCUGUCCCACUGCGAACAGAACAGCCGCCACUCUCAAUGAGAUAAGUGUCUGUUUUGGUGAUUGCUCUGCUCACAGUCCACCUUGUUCUUGGUAGAGAUGUCCCAUUAGUUGGGGCUGUUUGUAAGAAAAUGUUUUUGUCGA
Mauremys mutica (yellowpond turtle) is the source of this 442-nucleotide long non-coding RNA. RefSeq lists it as uncharacterized. Lineage: Eukaryota; Metazoa; Chordata; Testudines; Geoemydidae. The transcript is spliced from 3 exons. The record is from RefSeq and is a predicted model, not a curated record.